Molecule: ribosomal RNA, 1314 nt
Filed under: Enterococcus faecium
Lineage: Bacteria; Bacillati; Bacillota; Bacilli; Lactobacillales; Enterococcaceae
Description: bacterial SSU rRNA
Rfam family: Bacterial small subunit ribosomal RNA
Source: RNAcentral
UGGACCCGCGGUGCAUUAGCUAGUUGGUGAGGUAACGGCUCACCAAGGCCACGAUGCAUAGCCGACCUGAGAGGGUGAUCGGCCACAUUGGGACUGAGACACGGCCCAAACUCCUACGGGAGGCAGCAGUAGGGAAUCUUCGGCAAUGGACGAAAGUCUGACCGAGCAACGCCGCGUGAGUGAAGAAGGUUUUCGGAUCGUAAAACUCUGUUGUUAGAGAAGAACAAGGAUGAGAGUAACUGUUCAUCCCUUGACGGUAUCUAACCAGAAAGCCACGGCUAACUACGUGCCAGCAGCCGCGGUAAUACGUAGGUGGCAAGCGUUGUCCGGAUUUAUUGGGCGUAAAGCGAGCGCAGGCGGUUUCUUAAGUCUGAUGUGAAAGCCCCCGGCUCAACCGGGGAGGGUCAUUGGAAACUGGGAGACUUGAGUGCAGAAGAGGAGAGUGGAAUUCCAUGUGUAGCGGUGAAAUGCGUAGAUAUAUGGAGGAACACCAGUGGCGAAGGCGGCUCUCUGGUCUGUAACUGACGCUGAGGCUCGAAAGCGUGGGGAGCAAACAGGAUUAGAUACCCUGGUAGUCCACGCCGUAAACGAUGAGUGCUAAGUGUUGGAGGGUUUCCGCCCUUCAGUGCUGCAGCUAACGCAUUAAGCACUCCGCCUGGGGAGUACGACCGCAAGGUUGAAACUCAAAGGAAUUGACGGGGGCCCGCACAAGCGGUGGAGCAUGUGGUUUAAUUCGAAGCAACGCGAAGAACCUUACCAGGUCUUGACAUCCUUUGACCACUCUAGAGAUAGAGCUUCCCCUUCGGGGGCAAAGUGACAGGUGGUGCAUGGUUGUCGUCAGCUCGUGUCGUGAGAUGUUGGGUUAAGUCCCGCAACGAGCGCAACCCUUAUUGUUAGUUGCCAUCAUUCAGUUGGGCACUCUAGCAAGACUGCCGGUGACAAACCGGAGGAAGGUGGGGAUGACGUCAAAUCAUCAUGCCCCUUAUGACCUGGGCUACACACGUGCUACAAUGGGAAGUACAACGAGUUGCGAAGUCGCGAGGCUAAGCUAAUCUCUUAAAGCUUCUCUCAGUUCGGAUUGCAGGCUGCAACUCGCCUGCAUGAAGCCGGAAUCGCUAGUAAUCGCGGAUCAGCACGCCGCGGUGAAUACGUUCCCGGGCCUUGUACACACCGCCCGUCACACCACGAGAGUUUGUAACACCCGAAGUCGGUGAGGUAACCUUUUGGAGCCAGCCGCCUAAGGUGGGAUAGAUGAUUGGGGUGAAGUCGUAACAAGGUAGCCGUAUCGGAAGGUGCGGCUGGAUCACCUCCUUU